Molecule: ribosomal RNA, 254 nt
Filed under: uncultured bacterium
Lineage: Bacteria
Description: partial 16S ribosomal RNA
Rfam family: Bacterial small subunit ribosomal RNA
Source: RNAcentral
UACGGGGGGAGCAAGCGUUGUUCGGAUUUACUGGGCGUAAAGGGCGCGUAGGCGGUCAGCACAAGUCAGUUGUGAAAUCUCCGGGCUUAACUCGGAAAGGUCAACUGAUACUGUGCGACUAGAGUGCGGAAGGGGCAACUGGAAUUCUCGGUGUAGCGGUGAAAUGCGUAGAUAUCGAGAGGAACACCGAUGGCGAAGGCAGGUCUCUGGGCAUUAACUGACGCUGAGGAGCGAAAGCAUGGGGAGCGAACAGG